This 491-nucleotide ribosomal RNA is filed under the name uncultured bacterium. RNAcentral describes it as "partial 16S ribosomal RNA". It matches the Rfam family "Bacterial small subunit ribosomal RNA", at positions 29 to 507 of the family's 1533-position model. The record is from RNAcentral.
GUGCACGCUGGCGGUAGGCCUAACCCAUGCCAGUCGAACGGCAGCACAGUAAGAGCUUGCUCUUACGGGUGGCGAGUGGCGGACGGGCGAGGAAUACAUCGGAAUCUACUUUUUCGUGGGGGAUAACGUAGGGAAACUUACGCUAAUACCGCGUACGACCUACGGGUGAAAGCAGGGGAUCUUCGGACCUUGCGCGAUUGAAUGAGCCGAUGUCGGAUUAGCUAGUUGGCGGGGUAAAGGCCCACCAAGGCGACGAUCCGUAGCUGGUCUGAGAGGAUGAUCAGCCACACUGGAACUGAGACACGGUCCAGACUCCUACGGGAGGCAGCAGUGGGGAAUAUUGGACAAUGGGCGCAAGCCUGAUCCAGCCAUACCGCGUGGGUGAAGAAGGCCUUCGGGUUGUAAAGCCCUUUUGUUGGGAAAGAAAAGCAGCAGGUUAAUACCCCGCUGUUCUGACGGUACCCAAAGAAUAAGCACCGGCUAACUUCGUG